GCGGGGUGGGCCCCGGGAGCCCGGGGGCCCUGGGAGCUGGGGGAACCUGGGAGUGCAGAUGGGCCAGGGAGUGCGGGUGGGCCCAGGAUCCAGGGGGGCCGCACAGACUCCCGGGCCUCCAGAGGAGCCGGCCUGCUCACCUGUGUUUAGACUUCUGACCAAGUUUAAGGGUAAACCCACGAAACGUGUAGAAACGUGUUACAGGGGCCCAGAGACGCUUCCCCCAGGAUCAGGCCUCCUGCCACGAGCACCUCUCUGCCUAGCUCAGCAGCACCAGGACAGUGGCACUCGGUGGUGAGAGGUGGCAUUGGAGGUCAGACAGGAAGCAGGCUCACAGCCCCUCCUUCCCUCUCCUUGCCAUCCUGACAGCAGUGAGCCCGGUGAGAAGACCUGCAGGUGCACUUACUAACGUGCAGGUGAAUCAGCCAGGGCACCACCACCCAGGUGUGCUUCACCACCCAGAGGGGAACGUCUAACCCUCCCAUCAUUGAGCCGUCAUCCCAGCUACUCUGCCAUGCACAGGGCUGGCGUCAUGCUGUGGGGUUUGCUCCUUCCCCUCCUCGCUCUCUGGGGCCUGAGGACAGGCUCUGCCAGGCCCAUCAGUUCCCUUCCCUGCCCCGGGCACAUCCUCUCCUCGUGCCAGGAGCUGGGUCCCAGGUGAGAAAGUAACCAGUGGCUUCCAAACCAGCAGCUCCAGCAGCAUGACGGAGGCACCCCGCUCCCCUCCCGAGACCACCAGGCUCUGUGCCCUCGGAUUAGUCAUGACUGCUCCCCCUCGGGGCCCACGCCCAUCUGGGGGUGGCUUCUUUCCAUCCAGUCUGCCCAGUUCUGCCAGGCCAAGGGCUGGCCCUUGUUCUCUGGCUUCAGAGCCGACUGGACAGCGAUGCACCAGGACAGGGAGUGGCCCACGACCUCAGAAGCCUUUCCUACCACGAUGGGCCUCCUGCUGCCCGAGACUGGAAUUUGCCCGAUACUGGCGUGGGGCAGCAGCAGGGACAGAGGGAGGGCUGUGGCUGGAGCCUUGUUCACCACCACCAGCUGGAACUGGGCCCCCCCGUGCUCAUGAGCCAGGAAUCAGGGAGCGAUGCAGUCUCCUGCUCAGGACUCAGCUCUGCUUGGCUUGGUGGGAAAGCUUUUAAAGUGUUUCCUCUGCCGGAAUUGAGAAUAAAAUUCUAAGAACUUUCAUGAACAUAAA
Manis javanica (Malayan pangolin) is the source of this 1195-nucleotide non-coding RNA. The record is from RefSeq and is a predicted model, not a curated record. NCBI's taxonomy places the organism in Eukaryota, Metazoa, Chordata, Mammalia, Pholidota, Manidae.